AUGUUCGAGCAAUUCGGACAUAUAUUGUAUGAGUGUGGUGCAUAUCAGGUGGAGGAGAUCGAUAAAGGUAAAAACCGUGUUGCAAUACAUAAAGAUGCAGCACGGAGAGAAAAGUGGUGUAAAACUUCAUACAAAGUAACAAUUAUGGAAGGAGGUGAUGAAUUUGUCUGUCAGUGUGGGCAGUUUGCACACAUGGGGCUGCUGUGCAGCCACAUCCUAAAGGUGAUUUAG
RNAcentral lists this ribosomal RNA (231 nucleotides) under Triticum aestivum (bread wheat). RNAcentral describes it as "partial small subunit ribosomal RNA". Lineage: Eukaryota; Viridiplantae; Streptophyta; Magnoliopsida; Poales; Poaceae. The record is from RNAcentral.